GACCCUCCACCGGUAAUCUUCGAGCCCGAUUCCUUUUCUUUUCCCCGUAGAAGCCGUGGCAACCUCUUCCUAUGCUCGUCAAAAAAUGGAGCCGACGACGCUGCUGAAGCUUGGGGUAAACCCUUAUGCUCCUUCCUCUCUUCCUUCCUCUCUUUUUCAUGGUUUCGUGCACCCUCUCCGGCCUUCGGGAUCGCCGGAAAAUCCAUGAGCA
This 211-nucleotide long non-coding RNA is filed under the name Elaeis guineensis (African oil palm). Its description in RNAcentral is "long non-coding RNA (EGUI_LNC005445)". Lineage: Eukaryota; Viridiplantae; Streptophyta; Magnoliopsida; Arecales; Arecaceae. The record is from RNAcentral.